CUACGGGCCGCAGCAGUGAGGAAUAUUGCACAAUGGGGGAAACCCUGAUGCAGCCACGCCGCGUGGAGGAUGACGCAUUUCGGUGUGUAAACUCCUUUUAUCAGAGAAGAAAAUGACGGUAUCUGAUGAAUAAGCUCCGGCUAACUCCGUGCCAGCAGCCGCGGUAAUGCGGAGGGAGCAAGCGUUAUUCGGAAUCACUGGGCGUAAAGGACGCGUAGGCGGGUUUUUAAGUCAGGUGUGAAAUCCUAUGGCUCAACCAUAGAACUGCACUUGAAACUGGGGACCUCGAGUAUGGAAGGGGCAGGUGGAAUUAGUGGUGUAGGGGUAAAAUCCGUAGAUAUCACUAGGAAUACCGAAAGCGAAGGCGACCUGCUGGGACAUUACUGACGCUGAGGCGCGAAAGCGUGGGGAGCAAACAGGAUUAGAUACCCCUGUAGUC
RNAcentral lists this ribosomal RNA (439 nucleotides) under uncultured bacterium. RNAcentral describes it as "partial 16S ribosomal RNA". It matches the Rfam family "Bacterial small subunit ribosomal RNA", at positions 339 to 795 of the family's 1533-position model. The record is from RNAcentral.